GGCUCAGAUUGAACGCUGGCGGCAGGCCUAACACAUGCAAGUCGAACGGUAACAGGAAGCAGCUUGCUGCUUCGCUGACGAGUGGCGGACGGGUGAGUAAUGUCUGGGAAACUGCCUGAUGGAGGGGGAUAACUACUGGAAACGGUGGCUAAUACCGCAUAACGUCGCAAGACCAAAGAGGGGGACCUUCGGGCCUCUUGCCAUCAGAUGUGCCCAGAUGGGAUUAGCUUGUUGGUGAGGUAACGGCUCACCAAGGCGACGAUCCCUAGCUGGUCUGAGAGGAUGACCAGCCACACUGGAACUGAGACACGGUCCAGACUCCUACGGGAGGCAGCAGUGGGGAAUAUUGCACAAUGGGCGCAAGCCUGAUGCAGCCAUGCCGCGUGUAUGAAGAAGGCCUUCGGGUUGUAAAGUACUUUCAGCGGGGAGGAAGGUGUUGUGGUUAAUAACCGCAGCAAUUGACGUUACCCGCAGAAGAAGCACCGGCUAACUCCGUGCCAGCAGCCGCGGUAAUACGGAGGGUGCAAGCGUUAAUCGGAAUUACUGGGCGUAAAGCGCACGCAGGCGGUCUGUCAAGUCGGAUGUGAAAUCCCCGGGCUCAACCUGGGAACUGCAUUCGAAACUGGCAGGCUUGAGUCUUGUAGAGGGGGGUAGAAUUCCAGGUGUAGCGGUGAAAUGCGUAGAGAUCUGGAGGAAUACCGGUGGCGAAGGCGGCCCCCUGGACAAAGACUGACGCUCAGGUGCGAAAGCGUGGGGAGCAAACGGGAUUAGAUACCCUGGUAGUCCACGCCGUAAACGAUGUCUCUUGGAGGUUGUGCCUUGAGGCGUGGCUUCCGGAGCUAACGCGUUAAGUAGACCGCCUGGGGAGUACGGCCGCAAGGUUAAAACUCAAAUGAAUUGACGGGGGCCCGCACAAGCGGUGGAGCAUGUGGUUUAAUUCGAUGCAACGCGAAGAACCUUACCUGGUCUUGACAUCCACAGAAGAAUCCAGAGAUGGAUUUGUGCCUUCGGGAACUGUGAGACAGGUGCUGCAUGGCUGUCGUCAGCUCGUGUUGUGAAAUGUUGGGUUAAGUCCCGCAACGAGCGCAACCCUUAUCCUUUGUUGCCAGCGAUUAGGUCGGGAACUCAAAGGAGACUGCCAGUGAUAAACUGGAGGAAGGUGGGGAUGACGUCAAGUCAUCAUGGCCCUUACGACCAGGGCUACACACGUGCUACAAUGGCGCAUACAAAGAGAAGCGAUCUCGCGAGAGCAAGCGGACCUCAUAAAGUGCGUCGUAGUCCGGAUUGGAGUCUGCAACUCGACUCCAUGAAGUCGGAAUCGCUAGUAAUCGUGGAUCAGAAUGCCACGGUGAAUACGUUCCCGGGCCUUGUACACACCGCCCGUCACACCAUGGGAGUGGGUUGCAAAAGAAGUAGGUAGCUUAACCUUCGGGAGGGCGCUUACCACUUUGUGAUUCAUGACUGGGGUGAAGUCGUAACAAGGU
This 1484-nucleotide ribosomal RNA is filed under the name uncultured bacterium. RNAcentral's name for it is "bacterial SSU rRNA". It matches the Rfam family "Bacterial small subunit ribosomal RNA". The record is from RNAcentral.